Molecule: non-coding RNA, 186 nt
Filed under: Alloalcanivorax dieselolei B5
Lineage: Bacteria; Pseudomonadati; Pseudomonadota; Gammaproteobacteria; Oceanospirillales; Alcanivoracaceae
Also listed under: 4 other names
Description: Alcanivorax dieselolei B5 6S / SsrS RNA
Rfam family: 6S / SsrS RNA
About the family: E. coli 6S RNA was the first non coding RNA to be sequenced, but its function was unknown until recently. It consists of 184 nucleotides that fold into an extended hairpin structure with a large single-stranded internal bulge. The 6S RNA specifically associates with RNA polymerase holoenzyme containing the sigma70 specificity factor.
Source: Rfam by way of RNAcentral
UGUCCCCUGGUCCGUUCGCCAGCCGGGUUAUGUCCCUGAGCCGAUGUUGUACCAAAAGGGAACCAAUAUUGACCGGCCUGUGCGCAUGUCCGCCAUCGAGCGGAAAGCCUGAUGGUCCGGUCUGCGGUUUCCGCCUUGAACCUGACGGUUCAAGGGCCACACCCGCAGCGGCGGCCCGGGGGGCAC